Molecule: ribosomal RNA, 484 nt
Filed under: uncultured bacterium
Lineage: Bacteria
Description: partial 16S ribosomal RNA
Rfam family: Bacterial small subunit ribosomal RNA
Source: RNAcentral
AUUGAACGCUGGCGGAAUGCUUUACACAUGCAAGUCGAGCGGCAGCACGGGGGCAACCCUGGUGGCGAGCGGCGAACGGGUGAGUAAUACAUCGGAACAUGCCCAGUCGUGGGGGAUAACACUUCGAAAGAAGUGCUAAUACCGCAUACGUCCUGAGGGGGAAAGCGGGGGAUCGCAAGACCUCGCGCGAUUGGAGUGGCCGAUGUCAGAUUAGCUAGUUGGUGGGGUAAAGGCCUACCAAGGCAACGAUCUGUAGCUGGUCUGAGAGGAUGAUCAGCCACACUGGGACUGAGACACGGCCCAGACUCCUACGGGAGGCAGCAGUGGGGAAUUUUGGACAAUGGGGGCAACCCUGAUCCAGCCAUUCCGCGUGAGUGAGGAAGGCCUUCGGGUUGUAAAGCUCUUUCGGCAGGAACGAAACGGUGAGCUCUAACAUAGCUUGCUAAUGACGGUACCUGAAGAAGAAGCACCGGCUAACUACGUG